AAAACUCGUCCGUUUUCACGCAUUCCCACCACUAAACCUGUACGAACAUGGUCGCCGUCACCGUUGUUGCCGGCGUCGUCGUCGACAAUUGAGUGUGCCACAGUUGUAUACAUUGUCUACUGUAGUGUUUCUCCGUAUUUUACGAUUUGGCGAAUACACUACGUUUUUUUUUUUUUUUGUUUUUGCGUGUUUUAGUACACAAUUGUUUUUCGUAUUCAUUUAGACUACUAUUAUAAAUACAGUAUGGACCUUGACAAUAUUUCUCCUUGCAAGUAAAAUCCUUGUGGAAAAGUAAGUUUUUGUAUGACUAUUUUUCUAUUGCGAAUUUUAGAUUCAUAGCGUAAUUUUUAAAUAUAUAUUUUUUUCUUUAAUUUGUUGGUACUGGUCAAAAGCAAAUUAUCAUCAAUUUGUAUAAAAAUAAAUCAAAAGAACUUAAAUUAUUAAUUAAAACCACAAUACGACCAAUACGUUAUAGACAAGUAUGUGAACGACUAUAACAAAAUCGUUUUGCAUUUGCCACCGUAUCACUGCGAACUAAAUCUCAUCGAGCUCGCGUGGUCGUCUGUAAAAAGCCAUGUACAACGCACAACGAUACAUUCAAAUUGAACGAUCGAUAUAUUGAAAUUAUUAAAAAGAAGCGUGGAACAUGUAACGCCGAAAAUGUAGACGAAUUUUGUUGAACACGUCAUAAAGGACGAAGAACAAUUGUGGAAUAUUGACUUUUUAACUGAUGAAAUUAUUGAUGAAGAACCUAAAUUACGUCAUAUCUUCAUGACAGGAACAGGUGAUUCAGACACGGAUUGAUUCGGUUGUAUUGUUUAAUUUUUUCUUUUUAUAAAAUAUAUAUAUAUGUACGAUUACACAUUUGUGUUGAAAUUAAAAAAAUAAAUGCAUGUAUAAAAUAUUUAUAUUCCAUACGUAUUAUUUUUGCAUUGUUGCAUAGGUACAUAAUGGGUGCGACAGUCGCCAGGUGUUAUAUUUUCAUUGUGUGUUAUUUGAGCCGCUGUAUAUAUUAUUACAAACGCCGGUUACCACCGGUCGCCGCGUAGUGAGUGGGAGAAAUGUAGAGACGAACCGAGGAGCUCGGUCUUUAAGAUGUGCCAACGAGUAGCGCUCUACCAGCUACAGUAACAAUUUUUUUUCUAUUAAUCGAUUUAUUAGUUAUUCUCAGUGGUGUUUUGGAGGGUAUACGACGUAUACCCGCGAACCAUCUUGGUAAUUUAGCGUAUACUUUAUAAAAGUAACACCAAUACGCACGUAUACGCUCGUAUAUCUACUUCAUAAAUAGAAAAAAAACAUUAUCAACAACGAAGAAAAUUAUAAACACGAAGAGUAAAUCUAUAGGGCAUACGUUUAUUUUUAGAAAAUUUGUUAUUGGUAGGUUAAUAUUACUUUAUAAUAACAUUGAUAAUUGGUUAUUAUUUAUAGCUAUCGAUUAUCGUCUAGCUAUAUUAGCUAUCAAAUUAUAUCUACAAGCGGCCUUUGGACGUUUCUAAACACGAAUAUUCUAGAUAGUGUGGCGAGUGCUAUUCCGAGUGCUGACUUCCUGCGGCAUUGCUCGUCUUUCAUUAUUUAUUUUACAUUUUGUUUCUUAUAAUUUUUUUUUUUUUUUUUGUGGCUUGUGAAGUGAAGUGUUAAGUGUAGACAAUAUAGAUUCUACACACACACAAAAAAAAACACUUUAUUUUCUUAUUUUUUCUACAAAUACAAAUAAAUAAAUCCGUUUAGAAAAUGUUGAGGUAAGUAACUAUAAAAACUUAUAAGGUAAUACAUUUUAAAUUGUCUUUAUUUUAUUAAUUUGUUUACUUGUGCGCUAUUUAGGUGGCGUCUAAAGAAGUAGAAGCUCAAUUAUUGUCAUCUAUCGCAUAAAUAAGGGUAUAAGGUAAAUUGUUUUCUUUUUCUAUUAUUUGUUAUUAUAUUUGUUUACUAAAUAUAAAUUUUUUUUCACAUUUAUAUAAAAAUUAUAUUCUUUUUCGAUUGUUAUGCAUUAUUUAUUUUUUAUUAAAAGAUAUAUUUUCUAUUUUUUUUUUUUAAAUAGGUAGGUAUACAUUUUUAUAGAAAAAUGCAUUUUAAAUUUUGUUUUUUACAAUAUAGAUACCUAUUGCUCUAUAACAAAAUGUAAAAACUCCUAGUACUAUACAAUGCUUAGGUAGUUCAUAUAGGUAUAUAUAGUUGCAUAUUUGAGACCUAAUAAAAUUAAAAUUACAUUUUUAGUUAUUUUUCUCAUAUUUAAUGAGCAAAAAGUAAUUUAAAAAUAAUUAUUUGUUUUAAUUUUAAAAAUGCAUGCAGUAAAGAGUUAAAACCAUUCAGUAGAAUUUAAGUUAAUAAGUUAAUAGAAAACACUUCACAUUUCAAUUAUUAUUUAUUUGAGUCAAAGUAGUACCUACUGUACUAACCUAAUUUAUAUAUUAUACUACAUAUACAAAUUAGAAACCAUAAUUUUAAUAUUUUGUUUUUCGUGAUUAUUAAUUGUGGUAAUUUAUUUAAAGUUACAACCAUCGUCAAAUAAUUUGAAUUUAUUUAUUUUUAAUAAAUAUAUUAACUAAUUUUUAAUUAAAAAUUAUAUUGGUGCCAAAUAUCUCUUAUUCAAGAUACUGGAAAUUCUGAAUGGUAUCUGAUCUAAUUAUAUACUUAGAUGGUUUUAUUUGAUGUAGGUAAAUGAAAAUCUGUUUUCUGAGCCAUCUCCAUCUAUUCAAUUAGACAAUGUUGAGUCUUCUGAAGCUAACUGUCAGGAUUCACUUUAGCCGUCUGAGUGGACAUCAGUGCAAUGGACAGAAAAAAAAAGAAAAAUUUAAAGGACUUUACUGUGCUGAUAGAAAAAUUGGAUGUGAUAUAUGCAGAAAAGUGAAUAAAUUAAAAACCCUUCAAAAGAUUGAAAUAUCUCAAGAAUGGUAACAUGUCAAAUUGAUGGAGGAACAAAUACUAACAAGAAAACUGUUACUUACUGUUGUAAGAAAUAAACUUAAAAAACAUUUUGAAUCCAACACACACAAAUCUGCUGUUCAAAUAUUAGACAAUAAAGACAAGAGUAUGUUGUCCAAGCUUAUAGAAGAAAAAGAUUACCAGAUAAACAAAGCUACACAUUCUGUUUUCUGCACUGCUUAUUAUAUAGCAAAUAUAAUUGUCCAUUUGAUGAUCAUUUAAAACUAGUGCAAUUACAGGAACUAAAUGGUAAAAGUUAGGGUUUACCCUCCAUUCUAGUCACUUAUCUACCAAUAUUCUUUAACAUAUUUUUAAAGAAAUGAAACAAAAUUAUUAAAAAUAUUGAAACAAAUGCAAAAUGUUCCAUACUAAUUGAUGAAUCAACUACA
Molecule: long non-coding RNA, 3311 nt
Filed under: Cinara cedri
Lineage: Eukaryota; Metazoa; Arthropoda; Insecta; Hemiptera; Aphididae
Source: RNAcentral